This is a long non-coding RNA of Paramisgurnus dabryanus, 727 nucleotides long. RefSeq lists it as uncharacterized. The record is from RefSeq and is a predicted model, not a curated record. Lineage: Eukaryota; Metazoa; Chordata; Actinopteri; Cypriniformes; Cobitidae.
GCAUGUUUUCUGUGAUGCACACAAUGAAUUAAUGUGAUGGUAGCUGUUAAGACACUUACAUUUAACAUUCAAAUGUUUUAAAAACCAAACGUGUUCAGGUUUUUAUGCGUAUUUGGUUUGUGAAGUGUAAUUUAUGCUUUUUUCCUUCCCCUCACAGAUAACCAUGGUUAAUAAAUGGUCCGUUAUGACACGUCACUGGCUUUAAAAUAUAAACCCCAUUGAUGCAAAAAGAUGCUGCAUGGAAUGACAAUGAGGUUUGGAACAGACUUGGUGAAGAACAUGGAAACAUCUCUAAAUAACAUGGCCCCAACCAUCAUCAGGAGUGCAAAAGAAUGAAGUAAAAAACAUCUCUACGCCAAUCUCAUUGGAACAGCAGAGGAAACCACAGAAGGUCUGGUGAGGAAUGCUGCACUUAUGUUAUUGCAAGCAUUAUUUUAAGAAAAUCCCAGCUUCCUUUGCUGUGUAAAUAGUGAACCCAAAGGUCCCACACCAACCAUAGUGUUCAAUGGCUCUCCUGAUCCUCUCAAAUCUCAAAGUAUCAACUUUAUAAUGGACAAUGUGAACAUAAUAUGUGGAAGACAUUGACAUCACAGGCUGUGGAAUGACUGUUUGCGGGUUUUUUUCUCUUCAAUGUUCAAUACCCUUUUGCCAUUAAGCACACAGUGACUUUAAUUUAUAAAAUAUAUGCUUAAAUUUAAAUACCUGUACAAAACAAAUGUACAAUCAA